UACGGAGGAUGCAAGCGUUAUCCGGAAUCAUUGGGUUUAAAGGGUCCGUAGGCGGUUUAAUAAGUCAGUGGUGAAAGCCCAUCGCUCAACGAUGGAACGGCCAUUGAUACUGUUAAACUUGAAUUAUUAGGAAGUAACUAGAAUAUGUAGUGUAGCGGUGAAAUGCUUAGAGAUUACAUGGAAUACCAAUUGCGAAGGCAGGUUACUACUAAUAUAUUGACGCUGAUGGACGAAAGCGUGGGGAGCGAACAGG
RNAcentral lists this non-coding RNA (253 nucleotides) under uncultured bacterium. RNAcentral's name for it is "partial 16S ribosomal RNA". It matches the Rfam family "Bacterial small subunit ribosomal RNA", at positions 524 to 776 of the family's 1533-position model. RNAcentral also lists the same sequence under 2 other names. The record is from RNAcentral.